This 66-nucleotide transfer RNA is filed under the name Aloconota currax. RNAcentral's name for it is "tRNA-Leu". It matches the Rfam family "tRNA". Rfam says of the family: Transfer RNA (tRNA) molecules are approximately 80 nucleotides in length. Their secondary structure includes four short double-helical elements and three loops (D, anti-codon, and T loops). Further hydrogen bonds mediate the characteristic L-shaped molecular structure. tRNAs have two regions of fundamental functional importance: the anti-codon, which is responsible for specific mRNA codon recognition, and the 3' end, to which the tRNAs corresponding amino acid is attached (by aminoacyl-tRNA synthetases). tRNAs cope with the degeneracy of the genetic code in two manners: having more than one tRNA (with a specific anti-codon) for a particular amino acid; and 'wobble' base-pairing, i.e. permitting non-standard base-pairing at the 3rd anti-codon position. Lineage: Eukaryota; Metazoa; Arthropoda; Insecta; Coleoptera; Staphylinidae. The record is from RNAcentral.
UCUAAUAUGGCAGAUUAGUGCAUUGGAUUUAAAUCCCAAAUAUAGAGAUUAUAUCUUUUUUUAGAA